CCACCCGUGACUACCUAACACYGUUGGUUUGGUGGGGAGCCCUYUCGGGGGCGAGCCGCCGGGGACUACUGAACUUCAUGCCUGAGAGUGAUGCAGUCUGAGUYUGAAUAUAAAAUCAGUCAAAACUUUCAACAAUGGAUCUCUUGGUUCCGGCAUCGAUGAAGAACGCAGCGAACUGCGAUAAGUAAUGUGAAUUGCAGAAUUCAGUGAAUCAUCGAGUCUUUGAACGCACAUUGCGCCCCCUGGCAUUCCGGGGGGCAUGCCUGUCCGAGCGUCAUUGCUGCCCAUCAAGCCCGGCUUGUGUGUUGGGUCGUCGUCCCCCCCGGGGGACGGGCCCGAAAGGCAGCGGCGGCACCGUGUCCGGUCCUCGAGCGUAUGGGGCUUUGUCACCCGCUCGAUUUAGGGCCGGCCGGGCGCCAGCCGACGUCCAACCAUUUUCUUCAGGUGACCUCGGAUCMAGG
Molecule: ribosomal RNA, 461 nt
Filed under: Aspergillus amoenus
Lineage: Eukaryota; Fungi; Ascomycota; Eurotiomycetes; Eurotiales; Aspergillaceae
Description: eukaryotic LSU rRNA
Source: RNAcentral